Molecule: long non-coding RNA, 1964 nt
Organism: Falco peregrinus (peregrine falcon)
Lineage: Eukaryota; Metazoa; Chordata; Aves; Falconiformes; Falconidae
Exons: 4
Source: RefSeq, a predicted model, not a curated record
UCAGUUCCGACCUCGCCCCAACGGUCCCUGAGGCCCUCGGAACUGUCCUCGGCGCCGCAGAGACGGAAAAUCCAGUCAGGGCAGCCCGCGGGAGGCCGAGGCCAUGGUGGGCCCGCAGGAGGCUCAGGGUCCCGCCAGUCCUCCUGAGCGGGGGCUGCCCCGGGGGGGCUGCCCGGGGGUCCCCGCUCCCGCCCUGGUGGCUGAGGUGCUUGGUGAGGGGCUCGGUGAGGCUUGGCAGUGCCAUUGCCACCAGGCCGCGGGACUGGUGAGGAGGAUGUUGUUACGGGUCUCUGCUCCUUUUUGUUACAGAGAUGGAAAGCGCACAGGUUCCUUUGGAAUUUGUCCCCGCCUGGACGGUUUCCCCAUCAAAGGCACGAGAACAGAGCCUGCAGUCACUGUGUAUCUGCUGAUAUCCUUGAGGAACCCUUGGUUCUGGCUUGAACUCAAAUCUGGCACUGACCUACAGAAUACAUGUUUGUUCCUUACAAAGGUGCCUGAAGGAAUGUUUUUCAACAGCAUGCAAAAUCAAUGAAAAAAUUAAAAAAAAAAUCAAUGUACUUUAUAAGGAGGUGAUUUGAUUUGCAAAGCUGCCAGGCAACACUACGCCUGAUUAAAAUUUUUUAAGGUUUAAUGGUUCCCAGUGCCACAUACUUAGCAUCACGUUUUGCACCUCUGACAUCAGCGCAUAUGUUUGCUCUAACUUUUGUAGGGGCAAGAUCUGAUCUGGUGUAUUUUCCUCAUAGUUUUAGUUAAAAACAAUCUAGGACUAGGUGUUCAGCAUCAGUAAUUUGGCAUUCCUCCUCUGAUUUCUCUGGACGUGCUGAUCAACCAGUCCCAAAUCUUAAACCCGGAGUAUAAUGCACUGGUCUCAAGUCUUCCUAAUAUGGAUGGCAGGAGCUGUUCAUAGGGAAAAACAGGCAUCACUAAAUCAUCACAAUAAUCACAAAAUCAGAAUAAUAAUAAUAGUCACAAAUGCUUAAAUAGAAUUCUUAAAAGUAAACAUGAAAUAUCUGCAGUCUUAUAAAGACCUCAUUCUCACUGUUUCCUCUAACUUUUCAGCGCACUCUGAAAUGCUGAUAUUCUCAUUAUCCAGGAGGUUUCAAUUUUUUGCCUUCUACAAAGCGUGCUAACAUUGGAGAUUUGCCAAUGACUUAAAUGACCGAAAGCAGAUGACCUAGAUUUAGGGGAAAAAAAGUUUAAAGGUUAAAAAACAAGGGUUUUUUUUUUCCUGGAAAAUACUUUGGGGAGUAAUCAUUGGCCACAACACCUGCUGUAGCGGAGAGUUGCUACAAUCAGUUGGGUUCUGUUUCAAUGAGAGUCAAAGGUGCUUUGUAACUGAAACAUGAAUGUCCAACUUCAACUGCUUGUGUCACAAAUGUACUUAUAUGAAUGUCACAUGAGAACAGUUGUUAAUAAAAAUGAUACCAUUGUCGCUGUCGUCAUUAAACAGUGGAACUGAGCUUCCAGGGAAAAUCCUAGUACUGUUUAAGUCAAUCACAAAGGUCAACAGGAGUCUUUGGGAUUUCACAUUACACUGGAGCAGGCUCUAAUUUGUUUCAUGGAGAAGCGUUCUGACGUUAUCCAUGAGGAACAUGCCAGAGGAGAGUGGAACCCUUUAAACUGGAAAGGGAGAAUAUUCAUAUUUGAGCCAAGGAGCAACAAUAGAAAAAUAAUGCCUAACGCUUUGCAAAGGGUUCCCCAUCCCGCCAGAUGUGCUACAGAGGAUGUUCUUUGCUGUAAUAGCAGCCUUGCUCGAUAGCAGCAGGCCUGAGAAAAUGGGGUCAUCUGGUCUCAUACUGGCGACAAUAACAUCCAUGGGUUUCCAUCCAAGGGAGACUCUGCAACCUCUCUGGGCAGCCUGUUCCAGUGCUCCAUCACCCUUAAGCUUUCACACAUGUAAUCUCCCACGCCAGAACGCAGAAGAAAGGUUUCACCGCUAUCCAGCCACAUAAGCUUUUUACACA